This is a long non-coding RNA of Xenia sp. Carnegie-2017, 748 nucleotides long. RefSeq lists it as uncharacterized. The transcript has 2 exons. The record is from RefSeq and is a predicted model, not a curated record. NCBI's taxonomy places the organism in Eukaryota, Metazoa, Cnidaria, Anthozoa, Malacalcyonacea, Xeniidae.
AAAAGUCUAUAAAAGUCCACCUUCUAAUAGCAGACCCAGUGAUCCAGAAAGUCGACCCCUCGUGCUAAACAACGGAUUAUUUGUCUACAUCACAUCACCCAGAAUGAUGUUAGUUGCCUUCAUUCUUUCGACUGUCCUCAUCUCAAUACUCAUUUUGGACUGUAAUCUGUGUCAUCGUAAGAAAGGAAUUAUGUAUUCGAUAAACAGUUGUGGAAAGAAUGAAGAGUGUGAAGACUGCGUAAGAAGACAGCAAACUAUGAUAGAAAUGGUUUAAGUAUCAGUAGUUUUUCCUUCACAUUUCUGCUGGGAAAAAGACAGGAACAAAUGAAGCACAAUGAAACGAUUGUUAGAAAACUUGUAUAAAGAAAAAAACUUUUAGAAUUUAUGCUACGUUCGCACGAAUAUCUUGUUAAUGAAGAUAUUUAUCGAAUGAGUGUACUUUAAGUUUUUGUUACAGUGAUAUAAAACACAAAUUAUAAAUAUGAAGAUUCAUAGCAAUAUAGCUUGUGUACACCUGGAUGAAUGCGCUUUGAAAGAAAAUAAACUAAACACCUUUCAUGGAGACUAAUGUCUGGAGUCUUAAUGUUGAGUAAAUGAUAAGUACAAAUCUUUGGUAAAUGGAAACUUCUGUAUUCUCGCACAUUUUCCAUCGUGACACCAAGAUGCUGUGGAUACAAGUAUUGGCUUAAGGAUAGAGAAAUUAAAGCUUUUUUGUCCGAUUAUUUUUGAAAUAAUCACAGAUGAAAAA